RNAcentral lists this ribosomal RNA (253 nucleotides) under uncultured bacterium. RNAcentral describes it as "partial 16S ribosomal RNA". It matches the Rfam family "Bacterial small subunit ribosomal RNA", at positions 524 to 776 of the family's 1533-position model. The record is from RNAcentral.
UACGUAGGGUGCGAGCGUUAUCCGGAAUUACUGGGUGUAAAGGGUGCGUAGGCGGCUAUUUAAGUCAGAUGUGAAAACUCAGGGCUCAACCUUGAGGCUGCAUCUGAAACUGAGUAGCUAGAGUGUGGGAGAGGAAAGUGGAAUUCCGAGUGUAGCGGUGAAAUGCGUAGAGAUUCGGAGGAACACCAGUAGCGAAGGCAGCUUGCUGGGACGUAACUGACGCUAAGGCGCGAAAGCGUGGGGAGCGAACAGG